UGGGGAAUUUUGGACAAUGGGGGAAACCCUGAUCCAGCCAUCCCGCGUGUGCGAUGAAGGCCUUCGGGUUGUAAAGCACUUUUGGCAGGAAAGAAACGUCAUGGGUUAAUACCCCGUGAAACUGACGGUACCUGCAGAAUAAGCACCGGCUAACUACGUGCCAGCAGCCGCGGUAAUACGUAGGGUGCAAGCGUUAAUCGGAAUUACUGGGCGUAAAGCGUGCGCAGGCGGUUCGGAAAGAAAGAUGUGAAAUCCCAGAGCUCAACUUUGGAACUGCAUUUUUAACUACCGGGCUAGAGUGUGUCAGAGGGAGGUUGAAUUCCGCGUGUAGCAGUGAAAUGCGUAGAUAUGCGGAGGAACACCGAUGGCGAAGGCAGCCUCCUGGGAUAACACUGACGCUCAUGCACGAAAGCGUGGGGAGCAAACAG
Molecule: ribosomal RNA, 428 nt
Filed under: Acidobacteriota bacterium
Lineage: Bacteria; Pseudomonadati; Acidobacteriota
Description: Acidobacteria bacterium partial 16S ribosomal RNA
Rfam family: Bacterial small subunit ribosomal RNA
Source: RNAcentral